RNAcentral lists this ribosomal RNA (301 nucleotides) under uncultured bacterium. RNAcentral's name for it is "partial 16S ribosomal RNA". It matches the Rfam family "Bacterial small subunit ribosomal RNA", at positions 509 to 807 of the family's 1533-position model. The record is from RNAcentral.
CAGUCGCCGCGGUAAUACAGAGGGUGCAAGCGUUAAUCGGAAUUACUGGGCGUAAAGCGCGCGUAGGUGGUUUGUUGCGUCGGGAGUGAAAACCGGGUGCUUAACACCUGGCUUGCUUUCGAUACGGGCAGACUUGAGGCAUGCAGGGGAGAACGGAAUUCCUGGUGUAGCGGUGAAAUGCGCAGAUAUCAGGAGGAACACCGGUGGCGAAGGCGGUUCUCUGGGCAUGUUCUGACGCUGAGGAGCGAAAGUGUGGGGAGCGAACAGGAUUAGAUACCCCCGUAGUCCCUGUCUCUUAUAC